Small nucleolar RNA from Pistacia vera, 107 nucleotides. Lineage: Eukaryota; Viridiplantae; Streptophyta; Magnoliopsida; Sapindales; Anacardiaceae. The record is from RefSeq and is a predicted model, not a curated record.
AAACCAUGGUGUGGGCAUUUCCUCAUUUCCUCAUUAACUCUCUCCCAAGCCUCAAACAAUGACUCGGACUCAUCUUGUAAAAAUGAUGUGAUAUCAUUUCUAAGUUU